GGAACAAGAAAACCACCGUGUGAAGCCCAUAUAGAUGAAAUUACCUCUCAUCUACAGCGUUAUGGGAAAGCGGAAGCCAAAAAUGUAUAUUAUUGGUUUCGCAAUGAAGGUACUCGAGAGAAACGCAGAAAACAACAAUCAGAAGCCACAAAUUCUGAUUGCUCUGCACAAUCAAACCAGUUGGAAAACAGGGUUAAUGUAGAGGGAGAAGAAGAAGAAGCGCAGAGAACUUUGGAACUUUUUCCUCUGCAUCCUGAUAGAGGCGGUUUAUUAUAGAGUAGGAAACAACCCUCAUCCUUUCUAAAUGCAUAGGAAUUAGGUUUAUUAUAGGCCAGGAACUGUUACUCUAGUGAUCAAUGGCUUAUUUUGCUAUGAUGGUCUAAAAAAUGCCAUUGAUCUGCAGUAAGGUAUUAGGUUUUGUUCAACAAAAUUUCGGACUUGUUCGGUUUCAGGAGA
Molecule: long non-coding RNA, 456 nt
Organism: Cryptomeria japonica (Japanese cedar)
Lineage: Eukaryota; Viridiplantae; Streptophyta; Pinopsida; Cupressales; Cupressaceae
Exons: 3
Source: RefSeq, a predicted model, not a curated record